UUUUUUCAAAGCUUAUUUCUUACAAGAACAUAUUGAUUGCAAUAAGUGAUGUUUGUCUCUAUUUAAUCGACUUUUACUUUGAUAGGAAUUUAACAUUAAAGAUUCCGAAGUCGGUUCCAUAUACCCCAUGCGGUACUACUUGGACUAUCCUGAUAACGUUAAAUUGCUGGAGGAUUAUACAUCACAGGCACUUGAGAAGUACAACAAAGA
This 210-nucleotide long non-coding RNA is filed under the name Capsicum annuum. Its description in RNAcentral is "long non-coding RNA (CANN_LNC013029)". The record is from RNAcentral. Lineage: Eukaryota; Viridiplantae; Streptophyta; Magnoliopsida; Solanales; Solanaceae.